AAACUUUCAACAACGGAUCUCUUGGUUCUGGCAUCGAUGAAGAACGCAGCGAAAUGCGAUAAGUAAUGUGAAUUGCAGAAUUUAGUGAAUCAUCGAAUCUUUGAACGCACAUUGCGCCCCUUGGUAUUCCGAGGGGCAUGCCUGUUCGAGCGUCAUUU
Molecule: ribosomal RNA, 158 nt
Filed under: Hymenoscyphus sp.
Lineage: Eukaryota; Fungi; Ascomycota; Leotiomycetes; Helotiales; Helotiaceae
Description: 5.8S ribosomal RNA
Rfam family: 5.8S ribosomal RNA
About the family: 5.8S ribosomal RNA (5.8S rRNA) is a component of the large subunit of the eukaryotic ribosome. It is transcribed by RNA polymerase I as part of the 45S precursor that also contains 18S and 28S rRNA.
Source: RNAcentral